CUCCGGGUGAUCCCGCCGGACCCGACUGCUAUCAGAGUGGGACUAAGCCAUGCGAGUCAACAUAGCAAUAUGUGGCAUACGGCUCAGUAACACGUAGUCAACAUGCCCAGGGGACGUGGAUAACCUCGGGAAACUGAGGAUAAACCGCGAUAGGUCAUCACUUCUGGAAUGGGUAAUGACUUAAAUCUAUAUGGCCCCUGGAUUGGACUGCGGCCGAUCAGGCUGUUGGUGAGGUAAUGGCCCACCAAACCUGUAACCGGUACGGGCUCUGAGGGGAGGAGCCCGGAGAUGGGCACUGAGACAAGGGCCCAGGCCCUAUGGGGCGCAGCAGGCGCGAAACCUCUGCAAUAGGCGAAAGCUUGACAGGGUUACUCUGAGUGAUUUCCGUUAAGGAGAUCUUUUGGCACCUCUAAAAAUGGUGCAGAAUAAGGGGUGGGCAAGUCUGGUGUCAGCCGCCGCGGUAAUACCAGCACCCCGAGUGGUCGGGACGUUUAUUGGGCCUAAAGCAUCCGUAGCCGGUUCUACAAGUCUUCCGUUAAAUCCACCUGCUUAACAGAUGGGCUGCGGAAGAUACUAUAGAGCUAGGAGGCGGGAGAGGCAAGCGGUACUCGAUGGGUAGGGGUAAAAUCCGUUGAUCCAUUGAAGACCACCAGUGGCGAAGGCGGCUUGCCAGAACGCGCUCGACGGUGAGGGAUGAAAGCUGGGGGAGCAAACCGGAUUAGAUACCCGGGUAGUCCCAGCUGUAAACGAUGCAGACUCGGUGAUGAGUUGGCUUAUUGCUAACUCAGUGCCGCAGGGAAGCCGUUAAGUUUGCCGCCUGGGGAGUACGGUCGCAAGACUGAAACUUAAAGGAUUGGCGGGGGAGCA
RNAcentral lists this ribosomal RNA (867 nucleotides) under uncultured archaeon. Its description in RNAcentral is "bacterial SSU rRNA". It matches the Rfam family "Archaeal small subunit ribosomal RNA", at positions 1 to 878 of the family's 1478-position model. The record is from RNAcentral.